UUGACAGCCAGGCUUCUAAACCUCUUAAAACUCCCCCACUCUGGUGCCAACUUAGACAAUACUCUUUUACGCACUCCUUUUUAGUUAUCCCCACCUGCCCAGUUCCCUUAUUAGGCCGAGACACUUUAACUAAAUUAUCUGCUUCCCUGACUACUCCUGGAUUACACCUGCAUCUCAUUGCUGCCCUUCUUCCCAAUCCAGAGCCUCCUUUGCGUCCUCCUCUUGUAUCCCCCACCUUAACCCACAAGUAUAAGAUACCUCUACUCCCUCCUUGGCGACCGAUCAAGCACGCCUUACCAUCUCAUUAAAACCUAAUCACCCUUACGCCGCUCAACGCCAAUAUCUCAUCCCACAGCAUGCUUUGAAAGGAUUAAAGCCUGUUAUCACUCGCCUGCUACAGCAUGGGCUUUUAAAACCUAUAAACUCUCCUUACCAUUCCCCCAUUUUACCUGUCCUAAAACCAGACAAGCCUUACAAGUUAGUUCAGAAUCUGCGCCUUAUCAACCAAAUGUUUUGCCUAUCCACCCCGUGGUGCCAAACCCAUAUACUCUUCUAUCCUCAAUACCUCCCUCUACUACCCAUUAUUCUGUUCUGGAUCUCAAACAUGCUUUCUUUACUAUUCCUUUGCACCCUUCAUCCCAGCCUCCCUUUGCUUUCACUUAGACUGACCCUGACACCCAUUAGGCUCAGCAAAUUACCUGGGCUGUACUGCCGCAAGGCUUCACAGACAGCCCCCAUUACUUCAGUCAAGCCCAAAUUUCAUCCUCAUCUGUUACCUAUCU
This 782-nucleotide long non-coding RNA is filed under the name Homo sapiens (human). RNAcentral describes it as "HSALNT0279847". Lineage: Eukaryota; Metazoa; Chordata; Mammalia; Primates; Hominidae. The record is from RNAcentral.